UCGAGAAUUUUUCUCAAUGGGGGAAACCCUGAAGGAGCGACGCCGCGUGGAGGAUGAAGGCUUUCGGGUUGUAAACUCCUGUCAUUUGGGAACAAUGCUUUCCAAUUAACUGUUGGAAAGUUGAUAGUACCAGAAGAGGAAGAGACGGCUAACUCUGUGCCAGCAGCCGCGGUAAUACAGAGGUCUCAAGCGUUGUUCGGAUUCAUUGGGCGUAAAGGGUGCGUAGGUGGCGUGGUAAGUCGGGUGUGAAAUUUCGGAGCUUAACUCCGAAACUGCAUUCGAUACUGCCGUGCUUGAGGACUGGAGAGGAGACUGGAAUUUACGGUGUAGCAGUGAAAUGCGUAGAGAUCGUAAGGAAGACCAGUGGCGAAGGCGGGUCUCUGGACAGUUCCUGACACUGAGGCACGAAGGCCAGGGGAGCAAACG
RNAcentral lists this ribosomal RNA (426 nucleotides) under uncultured Candidatus Udaeobacter sp. RNAcentral's name for it is "bacterial SSU rRNA". It matches the Rfam family "Bacterial small subunit ribosomal RNA", at positions 355 to 774 of the family's 1533-position model. Lineage: Bacteria; Pseudomonadati; Verrucomicrobiota; Spartobacteria; Chthoniobacterales; Chthoniobacteraceae. The record is from RNAcentral.